RNAcentral lists this long non-coding RNA (931 nucleotides) under Parus major (Great Tit). Its description in RNAcentral is "lncRNA (ENSPMJG00000002086.1)". Lineage: Eukaryota; Metazoa; Chordata; Aves; Passeriformes; Paridae. The record is from RNAcentral.
CAGGCGCGUGAUGAAGUCGUCGGUGCGGUACGGGCGGAACUGGACCUCUGGGAGAAACGGAAUUCCGGGAAUUAGCACGGAUCCUGUGGGAAUUGGCCGUUAUCCGAGAAAAAUCCCGGAAUUAUCGACACAUCCCAUGGGAAUUGGCCGUUAUUUGACAAAAAUCUGGGAAUUAUCAAUGGAUCCUAACGGGAUUUGCCAUUAUCCAAUAAAAUCCUUGGAAUUCUCACUGGAUCCAAAACUGGAAUCGCUGGGAUGCUCCAAAGUUGGGAUUCCAGUCCCUCCCAGUCCAUCCCAGUCCCAUCCCAGUCCAUCCCAGUCCAUCCCAGUCCAUCCCAGUCCAUCCCAGUCCAUCCCAGUCACUCCCAGUCCAUCCCAGUCACUCCCAGUCCAUUCCAGUCCAUCCCAGUCACUCCCAGUCCAUUCCAGUCCAUCCCAAUCACUCCCAGUCCAUCCCAGUCCAUUCCAGUCACUCCCAGUCACUCCCAGUCCCAUCCCAGUCCCAUCCCAAUCUAUCCCAGUCCCAUCCCAGUCCAUCCCAGUCCAUUCUAGUCCAUCCCAGUCACUCCCUGUCCAUCCCAGUCCCAUCCCAGUCCCUCCCAGUCCAUCCCAGUCCCCUCCCAGUCCAUCCCAGUCCCAUCCCAGUCACUCCCAGUCCAUCCCAGUCCAUUCCAGUCCAUCCCAGUCCCUCCCAGUCAAUCCCAGUCCAUCCCAGUCACUCCCAGUCCAUCCCAGUCCAUCCCAGUCCAUCCCAGUCCAUCCCAGUCCAUUCCUGUUCCUCUUAGUCCAUCCCAGUCCAUCCCAGUCCAUCCCAGUCCAUCCCAGUCACUCCCAGUCCCUCCCAGUCACUCCCAGUCCAUUCCAGAGCCUUAUCUGACAAAAAUCUGGGAAUUUUCAGUGCAUCCUAUUGGUGUUCACCAUUAUCCAAUAA